ACAGAGGUGGCAAGCGUUGUUCGGAAUUACUGGGCGUAAAGGGCGAGUAGGUGGCCAUCUAAGUCAGACGUGAAAUCCCCCGGCUUAACCUGGGAACUGCGUCUGAUACUGGACGGCUUGAGUAUGGGAGAGGAACGUAGAAUUCCAGGUGUAGCGGUGAAAUGCGUAGAUAUCGAGAGGAACACCUGCGGCGAAGGCGGGUUGCUGGGCUGAUACUGACGCUGAUGCGCGAAAGCCAGGGGAGCGAACGGGA
Molecule: ribosomal RNA, 253 nt
Filed under: uncultured prokaryote
Description: partial 16S ribosomal RNA
Rfam family: Bacterial small subunit ribosomal RNA
Source: RNAcentral